AAGACUAUAGACCUGCGGAGUACCUGCGGAAGGAUCAUUACAGAGUUACUACUCCAAACCCAUUGUGAACCUUACCUAUGUUCUGUUGCCUCGGCGGCGCGGUCAGCGCCCCUCUGAAAAGAGGACGAUGCCCUCCCGCCGGCAGCACCAAACUCUUGAAUUUUACAGCGGAUUACAGUUCUGAUUUAAAAACAAAAAAAACAAGUUAAAACUUUCAACAACGGAUCUCUAGAUCGGAAG
Molecule: unclassified non-coding RNA, 240 nt
Filed under: soil metagenome
Description: partial contains 5.8S ribosomal RNA, internal transcribed spacer 2, and large subunit ribosomal RNA
Source: RNAcentral